RNAcentral lists this ribosomal RNA (392 nucleotides) under uncultured bacterium. Its description in RNAcentral is "partial 16S ribosomal RNA". It matches the Rfam family "Bacterial small subunit ribosomal RNA", at positions 523 to 917 of the family's 1533-position model. The record is from RNAcentral.
AUACGUAGGGGGCGAGCGUUAUCCGGAUUUAUUGGGUUUAAAGGGUGCGUAGGCGGUUUGCUAAGCGGGAGGUGAAAUGCCGGCGCUCAACGUCGGAAGUGCCUCCCGAACUGGUGGACUUGAAUGACUCUGCCGUGGGAGGAAUGCGCAGUGUAGCGGUGAAAUGCUUAGAGAUUACACAGAACACCGAUUGCGAAGGCAUCUCACGAAGGGUUGAUUGACGCUGAGGCACGAAAGCGUGGGGAUCAAACAGGAUUAGAUACCCUGGUAGUCCACGCAGUAAACGAUGAUGGCUAACCGCUGGGCUUAUCAGUUCAGUGGCCAAGCGAAAGCGAUAAGCCAUCCACCUGGGGAGUACGACCGCAAGGUUGAAACUCAAAUGAAUUGACGGG